GACGAACGCUGGCGGCGUGCUUAACACAUGCAAGUCGAACGGAAAGGCCCUGCUUUUGUGGGGUGCUCGAGUGGCGAACGGGUGAGUAACACGUGAGUAACCUGCCCUUGACUUUGGGAUAACUUCAGGAAACUGGGGCUAAUACCGGAUAGGAGCUCCUGCUGCAUGGUGGGGGUUGGAAAGUUUCGGCGGUUGGGGAUGGACUCGCGGCUUAUCAGCUUGUUGGUGGGGUAGUGGCUUACCAAGGCUUUGACGGGUAGCCGGCCUGAGGGGGUGACCGGCCACAUUGGGACUGAGAGACGGCCCAGACUCCUACGGGAGGCAGCAGUGGGGAAUAUUGCACAAUGGGCGGAAGCCUGAUGCAGCAACGCCGCGUGCGGGAUGACUGCCUUCGGGUUGUAAACCGCUUUCGCCUGUGACGAAGCGUGAGUGACGGUAAUGGGUAAAGAAGCACCGGCUAACUACGUG
This 468-nucleotide ribosomal RNA is filed under the name uncultured bacterium. RNAcentral's name for it is "partial 16S ribosomal RNA". It matches the Rfam family "Bacterial small subunit ribosomal RNA", at positions 28 to 507 of the family's 1533-position model. The record is from RNAcentral.